AUGUGGUUUAAUUCGAUGAUACGCGAGGAACCUUACCUGGGCUUAAAUGGGGAGUGACAGCUGUCGAAAGAUGGUUUUCUUCGGACACUCUUCAAGGUGCUGCAUGGUUGUCGUCAGCUCGUGCCGUGAGGUGUCGGGUUAAGUCCCAUAACGAGCGCAACCCUUACCGUUAGUUACCAUCAGGUUAAGCUGGGGACUCUAGCGGGACUGCCACCGUAAGGUGAGAGGAAGGUGGGGAUGACGUCAAAUCAGCACGGCCCUUAUGUCCAGGGCUACACACGUGUUACAAUGGCCAGUACAAAGGGCAGCUACCGGGUGACCGGAUGCUAAUCUCUAAAGCUGGUCUCAGUUCGGAUCGAAGUCUGCAACCCGACUUCGUGAAGUCGGAAUCGCUAGUAAUCGUGAAUCAGAAUGUCACGGUGAAUACGUUCCCGGGCCUU
This 440-nucleotide ribosomal RNA is filed under the name uncultured Sphingobacteriales bacterium. RNAcentral describes it as "bacterial SSU rRNA". It matches the Rfam family "Bacterial small subunit ribosomal RNA", at positions 939 to 1382 of the family's 1533-position model. The record is from RNAcentral. Lineage: Bacteria; Pseudomonadati; Bacteroidota; Sphingobacteriia; Sphingobacteriales.